RNAcentral lists this ribosomal RNA (545 nucleotides) under uncultured bacterium. RNAcentral describes it as "bacterial SSU rRNA". It matches the Rfam family "Bacterial small subunit ribosomal RNA", at positions 775 to 1313 of the family's 1533-position model. The record is from RNAcentral.
AGAUAAUAGAUACCCCGGUAGUCCAUGCCGUAAACGUUGGGCACUAGGUGUGGGGGACAUUCCACGUUUUCCGCGCCGUAGCUAAACGCAUUAAGUGCCCCGCCUGGGGAGUACGGCCGCAAGGCUAAAACUCAAAGGAAUUGACGGGGGCCCGCACAAGCGGCGGAGCAUGCGGAUUAAUUCGAUGCAACGCGAAGAACCUUACCAAGGCUUGACAUGGACCGGAUCGCUGCAGAAAUGUGGUUUCUCCUUUUGGGGCCGGUUCACAGGUGGUGCAUGGUUGUCGUCAGCUCGUGUCGUGAGAUGUUGGGUUAAGUCCCGCAACGAGCGCAACCCUCGUUCCAUGUUGCCAGCACGUGAUGGUGGGGACUCAUGGGAGACUGCCGGGGUCAACUCGGAGGAAGGUGGGGACGACGUCAAAUCAUCAUGCCCCUUAUGUCUUGGGCUUCACGCAUGCUACAAUGGCCGGUACAAAGGGUUGCGAUACUGUGAGGUGGAGCUAAUCCCAAAAAGCCGGUCUCAGUUCGGAUUGGGGUCUGCAACUC